RNAcentral lists this ribosomal RNA (276 nucleotides) under uncultured bacterium. RNAcentral describes it as "partial 16S ribosomal RNA". It matches the Rfam family "Bacterial small subunit ribosomal RNA", at positions 28 to 305 of the family's 1533-position model. The record is from RNAcentral.
GACGAACGCUGGCGGCGUGCUUAACACAUGCAAGUCGAGCGGUAAGGCCCUUUCGGGGGUACACGAGCGGCGAACGGGUGAGUAACACGUGGGUGACCUGCCCUCAGCUCUGGGAUAAGCCUGGGAAACUGGGUCGUAAUACCGGAUAUGACUCCAUGACGCAUGUUGUGGGGUGGAAAGCCUUGUGCGGCUGAGGAUGGGCCCGCGGCCUAUCAGCUUGUUGGUGGGGGAUGGCCUACCAAGGCGACGACGGGUAGCCGGCCUGAGAGGGCGACC